GGUGCGGUGGCAGAGUGGCCAAUUGCAACGGUUUGCAAAACCGUAAAAUCGCCGGUUCGAAUCCGGCCCGCACCU
RNAcentral lists this transfer RNA (75 nucleotides) under bacterium. Its description in RNAcentral is "tRNA-Cys". It matches the Rfam family "tRNA". From Rfam's summary of the family: Transfer RNA (tRNA) molecules are approximately 80 nucleotides in length. The record is from RNAcentral.